Acanthosepion pharaonis is the source of this 95-nucleotide non-coding RNA. The record is from the annotation of a GenBank genome assembly. NCBI's taxonomy places the organism in Eukaryota, Metazoa, Mollusca, Cephalopoda, Sepiida, Sepiidae.
UGUAACAGCGUUUCCCACACGAUCACCAAAAUUAAGCAACGUUGAGCCGGGUCAGUACCUAGAUGAGUGACUGCUUGGGAAUAUCAGGUGCUGUA